CAACACCUGUGACAUAUAAAUGAAGAAUCAGAAACAUAGAAAAGUUUCACAAAGCAGAAAAGAUAACCCCAUCUCAAAGUGGAAGCAUCAACCCAACUUUCUUGACUAAGAAUAUUGAAUCUUGUAAGAUUUAAUACAAAACUCAUGUAACCCCAGCUUUCAGAAGGUUGCCAUUAUUUUACCAUCAUCCUCUUCUUUUGCAUCAGGGCUGGGAACAAAAACGGGCUCAGAUGGCCAGCAGUCAUCCUGUCCCCACUGGAGCAUUUCCUUUGUCUGGGUAUUAAAUUUUGCAAUCUACAUGGUUGUGACAAGAAAAGAAGAAUAUCAGUGACCCUGACAGUGGCUUUUUCCAAAGCUCCUGGCACAUCACAGAAGGUUCAGCCCAAUUUAGCAGAAGAGUGAGGAUCUCAGUAGCUGUUCAAGAGACUUUCAUGGAACAUAAAGCUGGAGUAAGAAGCCUGAGUUUAUGAAUACUUUAUGAGGGAAAUGGUACAACAUGAACUUAUUCUUGAGAACUUAGGCAUUUCAUGUUUCUUUGCAUACGAAUGGCCCACCAAUGGGAAAACACUGACUUUAUAAAUGUUAAUUAUACCUUUGUAGGGACUGGACUCCACUGGACUUGUGUUGCAAAGACAUACUUGUAUUUUUUGCCAUUGUAGUCAUAGUUGAUGCGAGGCAGUUCUAUCCCUGCAUAAAAUAAAGUUUAAUACUUAGGAACAAGACAAGAGAAAACCUCAAAUGUACCUCUAUAUAGAUACACCAAUCUUCACGAGGUUUUGCCCUGUAAAAAACCUUGGAACUACUUAAUAGUGGUGUUGUAUAGACUUUCAAUAUCUGAAUUUCUAAGAAUCUGAAGAUGGAUGCUAACAUAAGUAAGCCAGGGCUGUUAGUUCAAAAGGCAACAAUUUUUUAUUCUUAGAGUCAUUAGACUGGAAUUUAUGAGGGAUUUUCUGGUUUGGGGUUUUUUUUUUCUUUCUUUAUAACUGGGAUUGAAUUGGAGGCUACCUUUCCAAGAAAAGACUUUCAUAUUAGGUAAUUUUGUAUUUACAUAUUCCUGUUAUUAUCCCCUGAUAAAAGGUUAAAAAUCCUCUUUCAAAGACAAUCUUUAUAAAAUGCAGCUAAACUUGAAGUACUACUUAUAACAGACUUAUUUAACUAAAAUUACUCUUUUAAUAAGUAGAUUUGCAAGGCAUAUUAAUAGUUGCAAGAUCAGGAAUCCUGUAUUAAUACAAAACUGAUGUAGUAUCAGAUAUUUAAAGGAUCUAUCUCACCUUCACACAGUAUUUCUGGUUGGCAAUAGAUGCUUCCAUCUUUCUCCUUUACAGCAGUUGCAGUAGAGGGAAGUGUGACCAAAUUAGAAUCCACUACAGCAUCCUAAAAGAGAAAAAUGCUGGAAAUGUCAUGGAUCUCUAAAAAUAUGCUUCUAAGUUAGAUUUUUCAUCAGGUUUGAUAUUAAUAUUAACAAUUUAUGGCAUUUUAGGUUCUGAGGUUUUCAUUAGAAAUCUUGCUGCACUCAGAGUAUUUUAUUAUAUCAUAGAAUAAUUAUUUUGAAUCACAAGUCCUUAGAAAUGUUUAGCUACACAUGGCUAUGGUCCAGAAGUACCAUAAAUUUGAGAAUUUAAUGAAGAAGAUGGGUUUGAAGGAGCAAGGUGUAGAAUUUUCACUAGAAGUCACCAAGGUUCAGUUUUUGCACCUGCUAAAAAUCAAGUGCAAAAUAGGUGUGAUAUACUCUAUAAUGUCCUACUGCUGAAUUCUUAAGAUUGCAGAACAGCUGGUGUGAUCCAAUACAUCCUUUGUCAUUGCUGCAGAGCUGUUUCUGAGAAAAGAACAGAGCAGCAAUGUUCCAGGAUGCAGAAAGAAAAAGUAAUAUCCAUUCCAAAGGUAUCAGGCAGAAACUUGCCCAAGUUGCUGGGCAGUAUAAAAUCUUCCCGGCAAACAAUGAUGUAAAAUGAUGCUUUAAAUUAAACUAAAAGAUAAAAUCUUUUCCUCUAUAUAUCAUACUUAAAUGAAAUCUUCUAGUUUUAAUUGAACCACUGCAGCAGUUGGGAGCAUGCAUGUAUUGUAUGUGGGUUUCCAGUGAAGUGUAAGAAACAGAUUGUGCAAAACCUCAUGCAUGCCCUUGCAGUUAACAGCCAAGUGGCUCUAUCUGCUUCUGUUUGAUGGCAUUUAACAAAUAAUUUCAUUGGGAAGAAAAUGACAUGUUCCUCAUAGCCCUGUUCUCCAGAGAGGAUGGUGUCAGCACCAGGAUCCAAUCCACAGAACCACAUCCAGCUGUCCACUGCCAUUUCCCACAGGACACACAAAAACCAAACCUCCUGCAAGCUUUGGGUAUCAUAGAAUCAGAAAUUUACACAUAAGGGCUGGCAAAUAAUAAUACAUCCAUUAUUCACACUGAUGUAUUUUAAAUUACCAAACAGAAAACAGGUUAAAAAGUGAUUUUCUUUCUACCUUGUCAUGCUGCAGAGGAACCACAAAUCUUUUGCAGGUUGGUAUGGAGGUAAGUUUGGCAUUCUCUUCAAAGUCUUUACUCAGGUUUUUUAAAUAAAACAUGUCAUACAAGCUAUUGUCUGUAUAGGCAAUAAUAUCAAAAAUAAUGUGGCCAUCCUCUUCAUAAGCAUUGAUGUGG
Molecule: long non-coding RNA, 2626 nt
Organism: Passer domesticus (house sparrow)
Lineage: Eukaryota; Metazoa; Chordata; Aves; Passeriformes; Passeridae
Exons: 2
Source: RefSeq, a predicted model, not a curated record